Molecule: ribosomal RNA, 483 nt
Filed under: uncultured bacterium
Lineage: Bacteria
Description: partial 16S ribosomal RNA
Rfam family: Bacterial small subunit ribosomal RNA
Source: RNAcentral
GACGAACGCUGGCGGCGUGCUUAACACAUGCAAGUCGAACGCUGAAGCUCAGCUUUUGUUGGGUGGGUGAGUGGCGAACGGGUGAGUAACACGUGAGUAACCUGCCCCCUUCUUUGGGAUAACGCCCGGAAACGGGUGCUAAUACUGGAUAUUCACUGGUCUUCGCAUGGGGGUUGGUGGAAAGGGUUUUUCUGGUGGGGGAUGGGCUCGCGGCCUAUCAGCUUGUUGGUGGGGUGAUGGCCUACCAAGGCUUUGACGGGUAGCCGGCCUGAGAGGGUGACCGGUAACAUUGGGACUGAGAUACGGCCCAGACUCCUACGGGAGGCAGCAGUGGGGAAUAUUGCACAAUGGGCGCAAGCCUGAUGCAGCGACGCCGCGUGAGGGAUGGAGGCCUUCGGGUUGUGAACCUCUUUCGCUCAUGGUCAAGCCGCAACAAUGGUUGUGGUGAGGGUAGUGGGUAAAGAAGCGCCGGCUAACUACGUG